RNAcentral lists this long non-coding RNA (786 nucleotides) under Phoenix dactylifera (date palm). RNAcentral's name for it is "long non-coding RNA (PDAC_LNC018265)". Lineage: Eukaryota; Viridiplantae; Streptophyta; Magnoliopsida; Arecales; Arecaceae. The record is from RNAcentral.
CUGAAGCUUCACCUUAGCUCUUUGCACUGGGGAGAACCUUUGAUAUCUUGUAUGUCAUUGUUGUAGUGAGUGGAGAAGAUGGAAGAGACAAUGAACCAAUUACAAACACAAGAGGUUUUAUAGUGGUUCGGAGCUAACCCUUGCUCCUACGUCCACUUCCCAAGCUUCACUUGGGAGUUCACUAUAAUCCCUAGGAUUACAGCCGAUUGUUUUACAAGUUCACAACCCAACUUGUUGUUUUCACGAGAUCACAACGAACUCGGUCGGUUUUCACAGGCUCACCGACUAGAACCAUCCGAUUGUUUUUUCGGGAUCACAAUCGAACCCUUACACCGUUGGUUUUAACUUCGGCUCACCAACAAACCUCAACAACCUUGAUUCAAUCCCCUGAUUGAAUCAAGUAACAAGAAAACAGUUUGUAAAGAGUACAGGGAAAGCUUCUUAAAAACCAAAUAUGAACAAUAUAAAUAAUGUAGAGUUAGAAGUCCUCAAACAGAUUUUGGAAGAGGAAGUAGGGGCUUCUCGAACUCUGAGUCUCCUCUUUGAAUGCACUGAAGAUCUGAUGUCAGAGGAGAGCCUUGAAUGCGAAGGAAACGUUUGUUGGAUGAAGUUCAAUGCGCUUUUCCUUCUUUCUCUUGUAUUUACUCUUGAGAGCCUUUGGUAGGUGGAAAUCCCUUUUUGUUUGAAUGGAAUAGCUCCCCUUUUUGUCUACUGCUGUUCACUCUAGCUAUUUAAGCAGUCCACUUUGAAAACUAGCCGUUAGACACCACUUUAUGGCCGUUCUGC